RNAcentral lists this long non-coding RNA (539 nucleotides) under Rattus norvegicus (Norway rat). RNAcentral describes it as "long non-coding RNA NONRATT001114". The record is from RNAcentral. Lineage: Eukaryota; Metazoa; Chordata; Mammalia; Rodentia; Muridae.
GAAAGAAUCAUCGUGAAGGACCUCGCUGAAGAUCUCUAUGAUGGCCAAGUCCUGCAGAAGCUCUUCGUCACCUCUCUGCACUUGUCGGAACAGUUGAAAAGCUUCUGAGCUUGCAUCUACUCAUCUCAUCCCACCUCUUCUGGUCUGUUGCCUGCUAGCUGCGUCACCUGGUUAAAUCACAGGUCCUGUCCACCCUCAUCUAAAACUCCCAGUGGCCUUCUUGCUGAUCACCAUCCAGACCACUUAGUGCAACACUUAGGACCUCAGAUUUUUCUCCACAGCCCCACAACUCUCUGUAGCUUCUCCCCAGACACCUCUACACACAUGCUCACAAGACAGGGCAAGUCAGGUGAAGUAAGUGGCUAUCCUUGCUGUUGGUUCUACAAUCUGUAUGUCCACCACAGUGAAUUAUUUCAUAGCCAUGUGUUCAGCCCGAUACUUCACUCUUGUGUCUGUCUCUAAGGCCCGUUUUCCUCCACCAUCCAUCAAGACACCAUUAUUGUUCAUCCAUCUGGCCUCAGGGUCUCCCUUUUAUACCC